Molecule: ribosomal RNA, 517 nt
Filed under: uncultured bacterium
Lineage: Bacteria
Description: bacterial SSU rRNA
Rfam family: Bacterial small subunit ribosomal RNA
Source: RNAcentral
AGAGUUUGAUCCUGGCUCAGGACGAACGCUGGCGGCGUGCUUAAUACAUGCAAGUCGAGCGAGGUUACUGUUUUGGAUCCCUUCGGGGUGAAGAAGCUUUAACCUAGCGGCGGACGGGUGAGUAACGCGUGGGUAAUCUGCCCCCAAGACCGGGAUAACAGGGCGAAAGCGCUGCUAAUACCGGAUGACCUCUCUUUAUCGCAUGGUGAAGGGAGCAAAGCUACGGCGCUUGGGGAUGAGCCCGCGUUCCAUUAGCUAGUUGGUGAGGUAACAGCUCACCAAGGCGACGAUGGAUAGCCGGCCUGAGAGGGUGACCGGCCACACUGGGACUGAGACACGGCCCAGACUCCUACGGGAGGCAGCAGUAGGGAAUUUUCGGCAAUGGGGGAAACCCUGACCGAGCAACGCCGCGUGAGGGAUGAAGGCCUUCGGGUCGUAAACCUCUGUCUUUGGGGACGAUAAUGACGGUACCCGAGGAGGAAGCCCCGGCUAACUACGUGCCAGCAGCCGCGGUAAU